ACGCAACCACAAGCAAUCAGGCUACUUCCUACUGGGGCCUUUUGCUAUGUGGAGACGUGUGGAAGCUAUUAUCUGAAUAGCACGAUCGCUACACUGUAAAUAUAAUUUUAUGGUCAAAAUUAGGUGGUUUAUUUGUGAUCUUUGUAAAUGCUUCCAAAUACCCAGGUCCCAUACAAAACUGAAGCACAAAUGAAACUGACUUUCUCUGACAUGGCUAUUUCAAGAAUUUUAGCUUGCUCUGAUAUCAGCUUAUAAUGUUCUGUAACAGGAAAUGACCAGUAAUAGGGAAGCUGGUUGGAAUGAGAGGAACCAUUAAAAUGUAAGUGCUAGAACAAGUCUAUCAUCAUGUUCAUCUCAUGUAAAACAUGAUUAUCAGAUAAGGAGCUGAAUCAGACCUGUUCUAGCAGGGGAAGACCAUUUAUGAACUAAAAUUCAUAGAUCUGCUGGAUUGGGACAAUACAAGUAGAGUUCAAAUCCAGGUAAAUGCCCUCUAUCUGAGCUGUAAAGGUGCAUUGAUGGCAAAUAUUUGCCAUGAGAGCCUUGAAAAUCAUGUCCUAACCUGUGUGCUUGUGAAACUCUCUGUCUAUUAGCUUGCGACCUCUACUGGUCACCUGCUCACUUGUCCAAAUGUAAUUGGUGCCCAGACUGCCACAUAUUGAAUUUGACUUUUUUUUUUUUUUUUUUUUUUUUCCCAGAAUCUUAUUUUUAGGACCACCUAUGAGAAAUGCUGUUGUUGCACUCAUUAGGGCUCUUCACUCAGUAUCAAAGUGAGGCUGUACACAUGAAUAAAACAUAUUGUAGGCAGUUUGUCGAAAACUUUUUUUCAGACAUCAGUGUGUGAGGGCCCUGCAAUGAAUCCACACACUCUAAGAAAAAAAAAAAAGGUAUACACUGUACCUUUGCUUGUCCUAACUUAGAGGACAAGCAAAAAGGUCCAUCUAUAGUCCCUUCAGUGUGUGUUUUUAACCUACAAGGUCCAUCUAUAGUCCCUUAGAGGUCCAUCUAUAGUCCCUUCAGUGUGUGUUUUUAACCUGCAAGGGUGCAUGAAGUUCAUCUCUAUAUUAUUACACAAAAAUCUAAUUAAAGUGCAGCUGUGUACUUUAAAUCGUUUUCAUUAAAAGUACACGUUACCAUGUAAACAGAUGUAUAGUACAGGUACAUAGGAUGUAGUCUACAUGGUGUUAUUGCAGUGACAACCCUUUUUGGGCUGAGAGUAUAGCUACUCUAAAGACUUCUGCAGCUCAAUGAGUCUAUUUUAAUCAUUUCUCCAGGCUCACUGACACGUAUCCGUGAAGAACUUCACACUGUACCUCCAGUCUACCCGCUUAGCCCUCUGCCUGACUACACCAAAAGCGAAACUUUUUUCUUUUCCCCCUGUGUGUCUGAAGCGCGUCCGUGAUUGCGCGCUCACGAUUGGCAGCUCCACGUCGACAUUCUUCCAGCUGUGCGCGCGACGCGGAAAGGCACAGCGGCGGUGAGGCGCCUGAGCGAGCACUCAGUCCGGGCAAGAAAAAAAAAAAGAAAAAAAGAGGGGGAUCAACGAAUAAAGUAAAGACCUCUGCGGCACAGAUAUAGUCCUGGUUGCCAUGCUAGAAAAUGGUGCUUUUCCCUUUUUUUUGUGUGUGUGUUGCAUUUUAUGCAUUUGAACGUCCUCGUGCAUAAAGUGCUGAGUUGCAGCUGUGAUGAACUCCAGCAGCGGGAAGACGAGGAGUCCUAUAGGAGGAGAAGAUUAGCCAGCUCUUCUGUGGCUUUCCAAGUAAAGUUCUGUGGUACACUCUGGCUCUAAUUGUUUGCAGUCAGUGCAUUACAGAACUUUGUUUUGGGAGUUUAAUGCUCUGGCCUGGAGGAAACAAAUAUUACAUCUGGAAGGGAGGAAUAACAACCACACAAGCCCCCCUGAUGGCGCUUGGCUCUGUCUCUGUCUCUUCUUCAAUGACCACACACAAAUGAAAUUGUCUCACUUAGUUAUUAUUAUUUGUAACAUAUGCAUUGUAAUAUUAAACUAAAAUAAAGCACAAACUUUUUUUUUUAAACACAAA
This is a long non-coding RNA of Pangasianodon hypophthalmus (striped catfish), 2039 nucleotides long. RefSeq lists it as uncharacterized. The record is from RefSeq and is a predicted model, not a curated record. The transcript has 2 exons. Lineage: Eukaryota; Metazoa; Chordata; Actinopteri; Siluriformes; Pangasiidae.